UCGAGAAUUUUUCACAAUGGGGGCAACCCUGAUGGAGCGACGCCGCGUGGAGGAUGAAGGCCUUCGGGUCGUAAACUCCUGUCACUACAGAACAAGAGUACGAUGAUUAAUACCUGUCGUGCUUGAUAGUAUGUGGAGAGGAAGGGACGGCUAACUCUGUGCCAGCAGCCGCGGUGAUACAGAGGUCCCAAGCGUUGUUCGGAUUUACUGGGCGUAAAGGGUGCGUAGGAGGUUUGGAAAGUCAGAUGUGAAAGCUCACCGCUUAACGGUGAAACUGCAUUUGAAACUCCCAAACUCGAGGAUUAGAGAGGAAAGCGGAAUUCUUGGUGUAGCGGUGAAAUGCGUAGAUAUCAAGAGGAACGCCAAUGGCGAAAGCAGCUUUCUGGAGAAUUCCUGACUCUGAGGCACGAAGGCUAGGGUAGCAAACA
This 428-nucleotide ribosomal RNA is filed under the name uncultured prokaryote. RNAcentral describes it as "bacterial SSU rRNA". It matches the Rfam family "Bacterial small subunit ribosomal RNA", at positions 355 to 774 of the family's 1533-position model. The record is from RNAcentral.